UGGAGGGUUACAGGUUGGUAGGCUUGUUGCCAGGUUGGUAGGCCUGUUUCCAGGUUAGUUCGUUGGUAAGCUGCCAUUUAUUUUAGGCUUGUUGCCAUGUUGGUAGGUUUGUUGCCAGGUAAGUUGGUUGGUAAGCUGCCAUUUUUUUUUAGGCGGGUUGCCAGGUUGGUAGGCUUGCUGCCAGGUUGGUAGGCUUGUUGCCAGGUUGGUAGGCCUGUUUCCAGGUUAGUUGGUUGGUAAGCUGCCAUUUUUUUUUUGGCUUGUUGCCAGGUUGGUAUGCUUGUUUCAAGGUUAGUUGGUUUGUAAGCUGCCAGGUUGGUAGGCUUGUUGCAAAGUUGCUAGGCUUGUUCGACGGUUGUUGGUUGGUAGGCGUGUUGCCAGGUUUGUAGGAGUGUUGCCAGGUUAGUUGGUUGGUAGGCUUGUUGCCAGGUUAGGUGGUUGGUAGGCUUGUUGCCAAAUUGGUAGGUUGAUUGCCAGGUUAGUUGGUUGGUAGGUUGGUUGCCAGGUGAGUUGCCUGGUAGGUUGCCAGGUUGGUAGGUAUGUUGCCAGGUUAGUUGGUAGGUAGGUUGCCCGGUAGAUUAGGAGGUUGCCUCUUAGGUUGCCAGGUAGGUUGGUUAGUUGGUUGGUAGGUUGGUAGGUGGCCUCUAAGGUUGGUAGGUUGCCAGGUUGGUAGCUUAACAGGUUGCCUUAUUGGCCGGUUAAAACUAGAAGUGGGGGUAAACAUCUUCGUGUGAGAAUCUGGAUAACUUUCUUCCCAAUACUUUACGUAUUGUCAGAUUGACAAAAAUAUGUAAACCAUUAAAGUCCAAGUUAUCUGAGUGGAAGCAAAAUAAACACGCACAGUGCGUGUGUCUGUGUGACGUGCUCGACGUCGGUGAACAACAAGACGUUGUUCAGAUCUACAAUAGCGGCACAUGGUAAAAUGAGCGAUGAGAAAUUGAAAUGCUGUACAGCCUGUAAGUGUUAAUUAGGUACCAGUCAGUCCACCGGUUGAGUUCCCUCUCAAGUGUGUGUAUGUGUGUGUAUGUGUGUGUAUGUGUGUGUAUGUGUGUGUGUGCACCUCGCCAUUCUCCUCUUCUUUCCUCUGCUUUCAUCAGCUAAACGAACGGAACACAAAGUCUAAUCGUUAAUGAGCCCUGUCCUGGCCAUGCUCCCCCCACCACCAGACGGACAGAGCCCCACACAUUUCUGCAAAACACCGAUAUUGCUUACUUUGAGUUUUUUUUUCUUUGUCUUUACAUAUAUGUUACAUGACAUGUAAAUGUAAUGUAAAAUUUAAAUGCGCCAUGUUGUUAUUACUCACAAUUACCUGGGGAAAUGACUUGAGUCACAUGACCAAUAUUUGUCAACUCAACUCAGAAAUGAUCAAAAGCACCUUUCAAGAGCUUCUCCUUGGCUCUGACGUCAUCCGACAUGUUUCUCUCUCUAUUGGUCGGCCCGGUGUGUCUGUCGCUCCUGGUCCCGCCCGUUCCUGCCGAUGCCGUAUCCUGAAUGGC
Long non-coding RNA from Gadus macrocephalus (Pacific cod), 1496 nucleotides. RefSeq lists it as uncharacterized. NCBI's taxonomy places the organism in Eukaryota, Metazoa, Chordata, Actinopteri, Gadiformes, Gadidae. The record is from RefSeq and is a predicted model, not a curated record. The transcript is spliced from 3 exons.